This 484-nucleotide ribosomal RNA is filed under the name uncultured bacterium. Its description in RNAcentral is "partial 16S ribosomal RNA". It matches the Rfam family "Bacterial small subunit ribosomal RNA", at positions 29 to 523 of the family's 1533-position model. The record is from RNAcentral.
AGUGAACGCUGGCGGCGUGCUUAACACAUGCAAGUCGAACGAGAACGGAUUAUAGCUUGCUAUAAUUGUCAGCUAAGUGGCGCACGGGUGAGUAAUGUAUAGGUAAUAUGCCUCUUACUAAGGGAUAACAAAUAGAAACGUUUGCUAAUACCUUAUACUCCUUAUUAACAGAAGUUAAUAAGGGAAAGAUUUAUUGGUAAGAGAUUAGCCUGUAUUGUAUCAGUUAGUUGGUGGGGUAAUGGCCUACCAAGACUAUGACACAUAACUGGUUUGAGAGGAUGAUCAGUCACACUGGAACUGAGACACGGUCCAGACUCCUACGGGAGGCAGCAGUGGGGAAUAUUGCACAAUGGACGAAAGUCUGAUGCAGCAACGCCGCGUGGAGGAUGAUACAUUUCGGUGCGUAAACUCCUUUUAUAUGAGAAGAUAAUGACGGUAUUAUAUGAAUAAGCACCGGCUAACUCCGUGCCAGCAGCCGCGGUAA